GAUGAACGCUGACAGAAUGCUUAACACAUGCAAGUCAACUUGAAUUUGGGUUUUUAACUUAGGUUUGGGUGGCGGACGGGUGAGUAACGCGUAAAGAACUUGCCUCACAGCUAGGGACAACAUUUGGAAACGAAUGCUAAUACCUAAUAUUAUGAUAAUAGGGCAUCCUAUAAUUAUGAAAGCUAUAAGCGCUGUGAGAGAGCUUUGCGUCCCAUUAGCUAGUUGGAGAGGUAACGGCUCACCAAGGCGAUGAUGGGUAGCCGGCCUGAGAGGGUGAUCGGCCACAAGGGGACUGAGACACGGCCCUUACUCCUACGGGAGGCAGCAGUGGGGAAUAUUGGACAAUGGACCAAGAGUCUGACCCAGCAAUUCUGUGUGCACGAUGAAGUUUUUCGGAAUGUAAAGUGCUUUCAGUUGGGAAGAAAGAAAUGACGGUACCAACAGAAGAAGUGACGGCUAAAUACGUG
RNAcentral lists this ribosomal RNA (467 nucleotides) under uncultured bacterium. RNAcentral describes it as "partial 16S ribosomal RNA". It matches the Rfam family "Bacterial small subunit ribosomal RNA", at positions 28 to 507 of the family's 1533-position model. The record is from RNAcentral.